AUAUUAACCAUCCAUUUAACUAUGUUACUACAUAUCUUCUCAGAGUUAAAGUUUUGCUAGAGUCUAAUCAAAACAUAAGCACAGAAUUAAAGUUUCUAAAAUGUAUUUACAUUUUACCCCUGUGCUAAAGAAGGAAUGAGCAAUAAUCGAAAGUUAAUAGAGUUGGCCGGGCACAGUGGCUCACACCUGUAAUCCCAGCACUUUGGGAGGCCGAGGUGGGAGGAGGAUCACUGAGGCCCACAAGUUUGAGACCAACCUGGGCAACAAAGUGAGAUCCUGUCUCUAUUUUUUUUUUUUUAAUUUUUUAUAAAACAAAGGUAACAGGGUUAUCUUUUUGUAUAUUUGGGAAGCGGUGAUAGAGGACAUGUGGAUCUACUGAGUCAGUCCUUCUAAAAAAGAAGCUUGAAGAACAUCUAGAGAAGCUGCAUGAGGCCAAUAAUGAACUACAGAAGAAGAGAGCCAUUAUUGAAGAUCUCGAGCCAAGAUUUAACAACAGCUCCUUAAAAAUUGAAGAAUUACAAGAAGCUUUACGAAAGAAAGAGGAAGAAAUGAAGCAAAUGGAAGAACGAUACAAAAAAUACUUAGAGAAAGCCAAAAGUGUCAUCCGUACUUUAGAUCCUAAACAGAAUCAAGGAGCAGCACCAGAAAUACAAGCUCUUAAAAAUCAGCU
This 670-nucleotide long non-coding RNA is filed under the name Homo sapiens (human). Its description in RNAcentral is "HSALNT0136171". The record is from RNAcentral. Lineage: Eukaryota; Metazoa; Chordata; Mammalia; Primates; Hominidae.